UAUUUAAAGAUUUAUUUAUCUUAAUAUUUUAGAAUAAACUUAAAUUUUAGUUUUAAAAUAAAAAAAUAUGUGUUGUUAUAGUCUAUUAGUAAUGAAAAUGAAUAUUUAAAAUAUUUAAAAUUUUAAAAAGAAAAAUUUAUUUUUUGUACCUUGUGUAUCAGGGUUGAUUUAUUAUAAGUUAAUAAUUUUAAUUUUCUCGAAUUAAUAAGAUCUAAAAAUUUAAUAUUUAAUUGUUUUAUAAAUUUUUAUUAUAAAUUUUUAGUAAUGAAACGUUUUUCGUUUAUUAAUAUAUCUAGUUUUUUAAGAAAUAAAUUUAAUUUAAAAGAUAAAAUUUUAUAAAUUAAAUCUUAAUUUAAUAAAUUUUAUUAUUAAAAAAUUUAGGGGAUAAGCUUUAAAUUUAAUUAUUAAAAAAAAUUAUUUUUAAUAUUUUAGUUUUACUAAUAUUGUAAAUCUUAUUAUAAUAUAAAAGUUAUUAUAUUUAAAAUUUUAAUUUUCUUUUAUUUAAUUUUUUUAUUAAAAUAAAAAAUUUAAUUACAUAAUUUUUGUGUUUAUGAUUAAAUUAGUAAAAUAAAUUUUAUUUUAUAAAUUUAUAUUUAAGAUAAAGUUAAGGAAUUCGGCAAAUUUAUUUUUCGCCUGUUUAUUAAAAACAUGUCUUUUUGAUAAAAAUAUAAAGUCUAGUCUGCUCAAUGAAUAUAAAAAUUUAAAUAGCUGCAGUAUUUUGACUGUACAAAGGUAGCAUAAUAAUUAGUUUUUUGAUUGAAAGCUGGAAUGAAGGAUUGGACGAGAAAAUUACUGUCUCAAUUUUAAAAAUUGAAUUUAACUUUUAAGUUAAAAGGCUUAAAUUAAUUUAAAAGACGAGAAGACCCUAUAGAGUUUUAUAAUUAAUAUUUUUUAAUAUAUUUAGAAUUAUUAAAAUUUAAAUUUAUAUUAAUUAUUUGGUUGGGGUGAUUAAAAAAUUUAUAAAACUUUUUUAUUUUAAAAAUUAUUUAUUUGUAAAUUAAUUUUCUAUAGAUUAUUAAAUUUAAAAUAAAUUACCUUAGGGAUAACAGCGUAAUAUAUUUUUAAAGUUCUUAUUUAAAAAUUUGUUUGCGACCUCGAUGUUGGAUUAAAAUUUAUUAUUGGUGCAGAAGCUAAAUAAUUAAGUCUGUUCGACUUUUAAAAUUUUACAUGAUCUGAGUUUAAACCGGUGUAAGCCAGGUUGGUUUCUAUCUUUAGAAAAUUAAAAUUUUUUAGUACGAGAGGACCAAAAAUUUAUUAUAAUAUUUUAUUUUUUGAAUAAAAUU
This 1283-nucleotide ribosomal RNA is filed under the name Lycocerus asperipennis. Its description in RNAcentral is "16S ribosomal RNA". Lineage: Eukaryota; Metazoa; Arthropoda; Insecta; Coleoptera; Cantharidae. The record is from RNAcentral.